UGAGUGAGUGAGUGUGUGUGUGUGUGUGUGUGUGUGUGUGUUUUGUAAAAUCUGUAAAUAGCACAUGACCAAAUGAACAUAUUGUAUAGAACUAUUUUUAUUUGAAUGUGGAACUAACCACCAUCAUCGUUACUAUGAUCAAUGUUUGUGCAUGUUCAAGAUCGGUCUUACCAACAGUGUAUAAAUCAUUAACAGUCCUAACUGUGGUAUUUUCCUCCAAUGCCUUCCAACAUCCAUCAACUAACCAAUACUGGAGUAACCGCUUCCUAAACCAUUUUGCAGAAAUGUAAGGGUGUUCGGUUGCGUGCAUGUGCGUUUUUAGCAACACAUCUACCAACCCUCUGCAUGAUUGAUGUUGGGGAAAGAGAAAAGUAGAAAAAAGUUCCCAACUCAUUGUGUGUUAUGUGGAGGAAAUGUGGAUUACCAAUGGGGUUUUUAGCUU
Molecule: long non-coding RNA, 442 nt
Organism: Galeopterus variegatus (Sunda flying lemur)
Lineage: Eukaryota; Metazoa; Chordata; Mammalia; Dermoptera; Cynocephalidae
Exons: 2
Source: RefSeq, a predicted model, not a curated record